ACUCCACGAAUUUGUGUGGGGAUUAUACCGUUCUGCACUUGAGAGUUCCAUACAGUCAUCUCGUCCUCCGACAGCAUAAAUUAGAUUAUUAAAUACAGCACAGCCUAAAUGCUUACGUCUCGUAGACAUAGGAGAUAUUUGAAACCACUUGUUUUGCCUUGGAUCAUAUCUUUCCACUGUAUUUAAAGGCGACUGUCCAUCAGACCCGCCGAUGGCAUAUAAAUAACCGCCUAAUACAGCAACAGCAACACCAAGUCUUCUGGUAGUCAUUGGUGAUACUUUAGACCAUUUAUUUUCUUUAGGAUCGUACCUAAACAAAAUCGAUGAUUAAUACAAAAUUAAUGGUCUUACUGUUCGAAUAUUUCGAUCGCGCUACGAUCUUGAUCCCACUUUGUACGUUUAUUUCCAUGACAGCAUACCUUUCGACGUGAUUUAAACAUUGUACACCAUCCUGACCACCCACAGCAUAAAGAAAACCAUCCAAUACCGCGACACCCACACUCGUCCGACAAGACGUAGUUGGCGCCACAUCACACGACCACUGGUUCGUUUGGGGAUCGUAUCUUUCGAUACUAUUUAAAUAGCUUUGCCCGUCGUGACCGCCCACCGCAUACAAUAAGUCAUUCAGUACUGCAACUCCUACACCGCAUCGUCUUUUACUCAUCGGUGCAACCAUUUUCCAGUCUGCGGUAUUCGGAUCGAAUCUUUCAACGCUCGCAAUCGCGUCGCCGGAACACCAUCCUCCGACGGCAAACAACACCUCACCGCGUCUCGUUGGUUUCCUGGGGCGUGUUCUAGGACCUUGCAUCAACGGCCUUUCUUGGGGAAGCAACAAGUAAUUCUUUGCCUCGUCCACCAAGUCUCUGCACGCAUCGUCGGAUCGCACUAGAAGAUCAGACCCUACGGUGCCAACUAAAAAUUUUGGACUAAGAAGUGGUAGUCGGACGUGCUGAAGAACUUGCGCUAAAUGUUGUCUCCUCUCGGUAACAUUGUAUUUAACCCAAUUCAUCACCGCGCUAAACACUUGUUCCUCUGUCCGCACGUUCAGCUCAUCCGAAGAGAUAAUAUCUACUAACUGGCCGACGGGUAGUAACAGAAAUUCUUCGCUUUCCAUUACCUGUUUGAAUAUAACAUUAAUUAGCAUGAAAGAAUACAUUGAAACGGGACAAUCCAGAAAGAGGUACAUACUUCCUGAAAAUUAUGUUGCGUGAACUUGUCCGCGAUUCGUAAAAGUUCUCGACAAGAAUGAGUGUCCGCGAACGCUCGUAUACCUAGACAAUUAGAGGGGUCGAGUUGGCGUUUGAGAAACUCGCAACAUAUAUCUUGAAUUUCUGCUAGCUGGAGAAGGCACGCUGCUGGAAGGAGAGUUUGAACAUUUGCUUCUUCGACGAUGAUGUGUGAAGUAUAACAAAAGUCUAUUAAUAAUUCCAUUGCCAUUUCGUCUAUGUCACGAAUCGUCACUUCAGUUUGUCGAGAUUCCGCCAACUCCCCAGUAAACAUUGCUCUGCAAGAUAUACGCAUACAGAAUAUCAGCUGUGAUUUUAACUAGACCGGAAGAUCGGUGGUUACAGAUUGUAUGGUUUACCUGAAGUACGGACUACACGCUGAUAGGAUGACACGAUGUGCAAAUAUCUUCCUAGAGCCGACAUUGAGCACGACAUCGCAGAGCUCCCGAUGCCGACGAAGAACGUUCAGUUCUGUGAGCGUAGCACGAGGAUGUUUUUCAGAGGUAUGGCUGAGACGGGCUGGAGAAGGCGCGCGUUCCACAACCAUUUCACCCAUCCUCUGCGAGGAUGGGGCGCCCGCGGUCGCUCUCCCCGAGGCGCCCCUCGACCCCCCUAGCUGGAGGCGCAGUGGGGGUGACGCCCAACCCCACACCGAGUCUAUCUGCAACACCAUUCACCAACCACCGCAGCUCUGGAACGUGCCCGCACUAGGACCCCUAAUCUUCUUUGAUUCCUGAAAUUCAAACGUAUAUUCUUUUAUUCAAUCCCUGAGCAAUCGAAUGAUUCGUCAGUAUGAUUUAAAAUGAUUACAUAGCUAUCUAUUUAUACAGCAAAGCAGUUUAUAACGAGUUGAUAUUUGAAAUUGCUUAACGUACAAAAUGCGUUUAGGUACAUACAGAUAAGAUUACAGUUCUAAUAAUAGUGCGUUAAUACAUUCAAUCCGAGACAAUUCGCCUGUGGAUUUUCAAGCUGUACUUGUGUUAGAUAAUGGGAUCUACUACUGGGCAUUAGAGAGAUAAAAGUAGGCCUGGCAUUGAACGUAUUAACAAUCUUUUGCAGUGAAAUAAAUUCCAAGUAAUUCGGAGCAAGUUUAUAAUCCUUUCCAUUUAUAAAAUGGAAAUGUUUCUGGCAUGGAAACUCAAGUAUGCGAAUCCUUUAAAAUGAAGUCUUUGAUACCAACAUAUAUCUUGCAAAAAACAAAGAGGAGGAGAAAGAGAGAGAAAGAGAGAGAGAGAGAGAGAGACAGCCAUAAGGGGAAUGUUUUUACAGAUAAACACUGUUUGACAUGCUGAAUAAAUGACAGAAGCUGUAUCAAGCAUUUCUGAUACGUACACUAUCGUGUUUGCACUCGGAACGUGUGAAAGUGUUUUUUAAAAAACUCGACGAUCCGUAGACGCGAGAAAGUGUGAUAGAAACAUCGUUGACACUCACUGUAUGAUGACUGUGUGAUGUUUUACGACGCACGGCCGACAAAAACUGAUGAGAUCUCUACGGAAUUCAGGUAGUUUCCCCGCUGGCGAGUAAUAAACAAAGAUCUGAUAUGGA
Molecule: non-coding RNA, 2771 nt
Organism: Megalopta genalis
Lineage: Eukaryota; Metazoa; Arthropoda; Insecta; Hymenoptera; Halictidae
Source: RefSeq, a predicted model, not a curated record